This 551-nucleotide long non-coding RNA is filed under the name Androctonus crassicauda. The record is from RNAcentral. Lineage: Eukaryota; Metazoa; Arthropoda; Arachnida; Scorpiones; Buthidae.
CCCAAAUGUCUUUCCCCCCCCGUAUCUUGAUGGGAUGGAUUUUAUAUAUAAGAAAUAUUUAUUUAGCUAUUCUGUAAAAUUAUCUAGUGCCUGCUAAGGCCUUUGAGCAUCCCUCCAUCCUGUUGCGUGGCAUAAAGCAGCAGCUGUACGGUGUUCUGGGGGCUCACUCAGAAGCUGCACCCACUCGGGCCCGUGGGGAUGAGGGACCUUAUCAAAGGUAUCAGGUUCUCAUCCCUUGACUUGUGUGAGGAAAAAAGUGCUUUCCUUCCUGCCACCACGGACUGACAUGGAAGUCUUCAGAUGGAACGCUGACCCCAUGUUCUUACUGUAUUUUUCAAGUGCCUGGAAAAAAAUAUUUUCAAAAACAAUACUAGUAAUAAUAAAAGGAAAAAAUAUGCACUAACUUAACAUGGCAACUACCUUAACAACAGGCAUUGGUGGCAGCCAGUUAAGCACCAGUGGCCCUGCUGUCUGUGAUCUUACCUGUUCCUCUUGUUUCUCAACCAUUUCACACGUACACUACUGAGGUAAGUUUAUAACUUGAAAUGUGA